Molecule: ribosomal RNA, 207 nt
Filed under: uncultured Romboutsia sp.
Lineage: Bacteria; Bacillati; Bacillota; Clostridia; Peptostreptococcales; Peptostreptococcaceae
Description: partial 16S ribosomal RNA
Rfam family: Bacterial small subunit ribosomal RNA
Source: RNAcentral
UGCGUAGGUGGUUUCUUAAGUCAGAGGUGAAAGGCUACGGCUCAACCGCAGUAAGCCUUUGAAACUGGGAAACUUGAGUGCAGGAGAGGAGAGUGGAAUUCCUAGUGUAGCGGUGAAAUGCGUAGAUAUUAGGAGGAACACCAGUUGCGAAGGCGGCUCUCUGGACUGUAACUGACACUGAGGCACGAAAGCGUGGGGAGCAAACAG